This is a non-coding RNA of Rattus norvegicus (Norway rat), 63 nucleotides long. The record is from Rfam. NCBI's taxonomy places the organism in Eukaryota, Metazoa, Chordata, Mammalia, Rodentia, Muridae.
GGGGAUUUAGCUCAGUGGUAGAGCACUUGCCUAGCAAGCGCAAGGCCCUUGGUUCAGUCCUCA